This 73-nucleotide transfer RNA is filed under the name Candidatus Abyssobacteria bacterium SURF_17. RNAcentral describes it as "Candidatus Abyssubacteria bacterium SURF_17 tRNA-Thr". It matches the Rfam family "tRNA". Rfam says of the family: Transfer RNA (tRNA) molecules are approximately 80 nucleotides in length. Their secondary structure includes four short double-helical elements and three loops (D, anti-codon, and T loops). Lineage: Bacteria; Pseudomonadati; Candidatus Hydrogenedentota; Candidatus Abyssobacteria. The record is from RNAcentral.
GCUGGAGUAGCUCAGCCGGUAGAGCACCUCACUCGUAAUGAGGGGGUCGUGGGUUCGAAUCCCAUCUCCAGCU